GAGCACGUAGGUGGGUUUGUAAGUCAGAUGUGAAAGCCUUCUGCUCAACGGAAGAAUUGCAUCUGAAACUGCGAGUCUUGAGUGUAGGAGGGGAGAAUGGAACUUCUGGUGGAGCGGCGAAAUGCGUAGAUAUCAGAAGGAACUCCGGCGGCGAAAGCGAUUCUCUGGCCUAUUACUGACACACAGUGUGCGAAAGCUAGGGGAGCAAACGGGAUUAGAUACCCCGGUAGUCCUAGCCGUAAACGAUGGGCACUAAGUAGAGGGGUUUU
Molecule: ribosomal RNA, 269 nt
Filed under: uncultured Planctomycetales bacterium
Lineage: Bacteria; Pseudomonadati; Planctomycetota; Planctomycetia; Planctomycetales
Description: partial 16S ribosomal RNA
Rfam family: Bacterial small subunit ribosomal RNA
Source: RNAcentral